GUGCCAGCCGCCGCGGUAAUACCGGCAGCCCGAGUGAUGGCCGAUCUUAUUGGGCCUAAAGCGUCCGUAGCCGGCCGGGCAAGUCCGUCGGGAAAUCCACCCGCUUAACGGGUGGGCGUCCGGCGGAAACUGCUCGGCUUGGGACCGGAGGACCCGAGGGGUACGCCUGGGGUAGGAGUGAAAUCCCGUAAUCCCGGACGGACCGCCGGUGGCGAAAGCGCCUCGGGAGGACGGAUCCGACGGUGAGGGACGAAAGCUAGGGUCUCGAACCGGAUUAGAAACCCGAGUGUCC
This 292-nucleotide ribosomal RNA is filed under the name uncultured bacterium. RNAcentral describes it as "partial 16S ribosomal RNA". It matches the Rfam family "Archaeal small subunit ribosomal RNA", at positions 455 to 747 of the family's 1478-position model. The record is from RNAcentral.